Molecule: ribosomal RNA, 446 nt
Filed under: uncultured bacterium
Lineage: Bacteria
Description: partial 16S ribosomal RNA
Rfam family: Bacterial small subunit ribosomal RNA
Source: RNAcentral
GGCCAGACUCCUACGGGAGGCAGCAGUGGGGAAUAUUGCACAAUGGGGGAAACCCUGAUGCAGCAACGCCGCGUGAGUGAAGAAGUCAUUCGUGAUGUAAAGCUCUAUCAGCAGGGAAGAAAAUGACGGUACCUGAGUAAGAAGCCCCGGCUAACUACGUGCCAGCAGCCGCGGUAAUACGUAGGGGGCAAGCGUUAUCCGGAUUUACUGGGUGUAAAGGGAGCGUAGACGGCAUAGCAAGUCUGAAGUGAAAGCCCAAGGCUCAACCAUGGGACUGCUUUGGAAACUGUUAAGCUAGAGUGCUGGGGAGGUAAGCGGAAUUCCUAGUGUAGCGGUGAAAUGCGUAGAUAUUAGGAGGAACACCAGUGGCGAAGGCGGUCAACUGGACAGCAACUGACGCUGAGGCGCGAAAGCGUGGGGAGCAAACAGGAUUAGAUACCCUUGUA